This is a non-coding RNA of Zonotrichia albicollis (white-throated sparrow), 6398 nucleotides long. The record is from RefSeq and is a predicted model, not a curated record. Lineage: Eukaryota; Metazoa; Chordata; Aves; Passeriformes; Passerellidae.
CAGAGCAAGAAUCUUUGGGAAGAGUUUCCAUAGAAACAUUGACGUCCUCCUGGUGAACAGGACACUGAGUUCCUUCAAUGAGAGAUAAGACCAAUGAAGGUGACAGUCCCUUCUCAGAAAGAGUGUGACCCACCCCACGGCCCAUCUGAUGCCAGGUUUGUUGUUCAGAGCCUUCCCCUGGCCAUGGGAGUUCUGGCUCUGGAGUGAGCACAACUCAGCCUGAGAAAGUGAGCAGCCAUCUGACCCAACAGGGUCGCUCUCAGCCUUCAUGGUUUACUCUGGCUCUGACUGAGCUGUAUAUCUCUAGCACAAUUCAGAUGACUCUCUGGGGUACCUGAAUGUAUUUCAGCAUCUUACAUGUGUCACUCUUCCAAACAGACUCAUAAAAUGGCUUGGGCUGGGAGGGACCUUAACACUCAUUCAGUUCCAACCCCCUGCCAUGGGUACGGGCACCUUCCAUCAGAUCAUGUUGCUCCAAGCCCCAUCCAAGCUGACCUGGGAUACUUCCAGGGAUGGGGCAGCCACAGCUUCUCUGGGCAAUCCAUGCCAGGACAUCACAAACCUCACUGGGAAGAAUUUCUUCUUUGUACAUAAUUUAGCCUGCUCUCUCUGUCAGCUUUAAAAAUACCAAAUACCCAAACACCUUUUUGGGGUGAGUCACAUGAGGUGAGGAGCAUUCACUGCAUCUCUUCCUCUAUUUCUCUCCAGUGCUGAUAUCUCAGGGGUGACUCGUUGUUUCCCCAGCAAACCCCUGUGGUGUGAAGUUUCCUUUGAGCAGGUGAGCUGUGCUCCACUGGGACAACAUGGAGCAAGGAGGGAACUUUGCUCCAUGCAGGAGCAGGUGCUGUGGUCUUGAACCAGCCUUGUCCUCUCUGCAAGAGAGCUUCUGUUAUUCAAAAGUAUCUUGCAGGUUUCUACACGUCUGUUUCUUGUUCAUAUCCCUCCAGAGUGAUUAUCAAGAAAUACAAGGCAUCUACAACCCCAUUACAGUUGAAUGGGACCCCCAGGUACCCUGCACCUUCUGUACUCUGCUCCAGACAGUCUUCAAAGGCCAAAGACUGCAGUGUGGCUGCUGACUUUAAUCCCUGUUCUUUGCAAUGCUCAGAGACUGUGGCUAUUUAUACUGCUCUUAUUGCAAUGCUGAAAACUCUGCUGAGAGUGAAAUUAUUUCAGAUCUAUAUGGGUAUGAUGCCACAUGAAGUUCUGGUUUGUAAUUUCAUAGCAAAGAUAUCCCAUUUAUUAAAUGGGCUCUAGGCAGGAUGUUUGAUACAGAAUAUGGCAUUGAUCUACUUGCAGAAUGUUUGCAAGAAGAUAAUUUUGGUUCAACCUGUUCAGCAAGAUUCACUGUAGACAAAGAAAGACAGAAAAAUCAGCAAGUCAGAGAAUCUCAAACAAAUGUCUUGAGUUCCAGGGACUUAUUUAGAUUGUUCCACAGGAUGAUGAUAUGAAUGUCUUUGAAGGGAAUAGGAUGAGAGUGUAAAACAGAGGUUCCUCUUCCUGAGGAGUACUCAACUUUUUUCCUCGCUUUGUCUCAGUGUUGACUUAACCCUGUUUUGUAGAUGGAGAAGACUUAGAAGUAAAGAACCAUUUAGAAUGAGGGAUAUUUUGCUUGAGCAUUUUGUCCUUAUCUACAGCUUAGGGGAAUUUGAAAUCUCAUUAUUCUUUCUUGAUUAACAUACCUUUAUAAGGUGUUCAGCUAGCAUGACAAUGAACUUGAUUUAUAUAUCCAGGUAACCUGAAUCUGCAUGCGCCAGGAAAAGAUUGAAGGCAAACCAGACCCCACACCCACCAUGAUAAGACAGCUGAGUCAAGAUGAAGACCUGGUCCUCAAGGAUUGUCUGUCCCACCAUGGGCUGUGGCCCCUCCAUGCUGUGUUGUUUCUUCAGCCUUGUGUCUCCACUGGGCUCAGCUGCUAAAAGGCUUUUGCUCUGCAAAAAGGCUGCUUAUACUCAUGGUCCUCUUGAUGUGGAUAUGCAACCACCAACUCUCCAAAGCCCCAGGGAGAACCUUUUUUAGGAGGACCUGAACAAAAUACAGCCCUCCUACAACUGCAGCCUCAAUGGUGGCCAGCAGACUACCCUGGAUGAGAGCUGAUUUCCAAUGGCCUCAUUAUGCUGCCUUGGGGAGAGAGAAGGGAGCACAGAGGAGACAGCCCGAAGUGCUACAGCUGGGCUAUGAGGGGAUCCCAUUUGUCCCCACCCCUCUGCAUCACAGAGGUGUCUGAGCUGGUCUGGGGUCCUUCUUCCCCUGAAGAGCAGCCACUGACAACAUCUGCUGCCCCUCCAGGGGGGAAGGUGGGUGUUCAGGUGAGUGGGCUCAGCCUCCCAUCCUCCUCUCCUAGAGCCACACAUGCAUCCCUGUGCUGCCCAGGGUCUUGUGCUGUUGUUGCUGCCUUCAAAAGAGUUUAUUUUGGCAUUAGCUCCCCAUGGGAAACCUGUGAACAGCUCCUUCUCCCUCAGGCUGUCUCAGACUCCAGCAGAGCCCCAGCUCCUGUGGCUGCACGCAGGUCUGUCCCACUGCUUUGGGCUGUCACUCACCAACACGUUCCUUCACAUGCUCCAGGGCAGCCUGAAGCAGCCAAGGCUGCCACAUGCCACCAAAACCCCAGGCAUGCAGAAGAGUAGUUUAAUUCAGAUCCAGGCUUUAUUAAGGCUACCUGGAACCACAGGUUUGAGUCCUGGCUCUAUUGAAGCUGGCUGAGGGCUCAAGUGGAAGAACGUGGCAGAACUCGCUACUUCUCCAUGCACUCCUGUGAUAGGACUCACAAUUAUAUCUGAAUCUGUUCUACUAUUUUCCUUUUCAAAUAUCUGUCCCUUUUGCUUUUAUGAGUCAUCAACUGUUUUAUUUUCCUAGCAGAUUAGAUCGUUCCUCUCACCGUGGCUUUGGGCUUUUGCAGCUGAAUGGAACCCAGGAGACCUGAGCAUGGAGCAUCAGGAUUGAAGACACAGUAGAACACAAAAAGGGCAGCUGGUGCUCAGCAGACACCACAAGUCACUUAAAAUGUCUUUUGUUUUUUAGCUAUUGUUUGGUUAAAUGUGGUACCUGCAGCUUGAACAAUAGGCAGAGGGAGGGUAUUGCACUGUCACGGAGUGCAAGGUGAGGUUUCAGUAUGGGAAGCCAGAGGUAGCACAUUGGCCCAGCAAGUCCUUCCAAGCAGUCCAUUAGCUGAGCUCCCAAGGAGCCACACAAAUGUUCAUUGCAUUUAUUUGAGUCCACACUAGGGACGUUUCUUUAAACGACUUGGUGCGGGGAAAAAUGGAUGUUGGCAGGGCUUUAGGUUCCAGCCAGAAGUAGAUGAAACCGUGGGAGUGUUGCUCCCAGAGAGAGGUCCAGGCCACCCACACUGGGCUCUUCUUCCUCCCGCAUCAAGGUGUGCUGAGCCCUGAGGAGAGGUUUCCAAUCCUUCUUUGAGUCAGGUAGGUUAUUGCUGGGAUGCUCAAACUGGAUGCAACUGUCCCACUGCCCAGCUCACAGAUCAAUGUCCCCAUAAUCUGGGGACCCCUGUUCCACCCCAUCUGGGCAUUGUGUUGUGCUCCUUCUGCUCUUCAGAGAGCAGAGGACAAGAAACAGGAUGCUUUCAGACACUUUAGCAACUGCUUUCUCAAAGCUUGUGUUGCUGCUCCAAAGAGAGUUACUCUUUGCAUGCACCAGUCCAGAACUUUUUGGAUGCACCAAGUGAAAGAAAUGUAAUUUCCUUCUUUAUUUCCCCAUUAAAUUCCUCUGUUCUGAAGCUGAAUUGAGUUUCGGAUCUAAUUGUCCUUCCCUUUCCAAACAAAUAGAAUGCUUUGAAAAACUGCCUGUACUUUUAUACACCCAACAUCUGGUUUUGGUAAAAAUUCUGAAACUUUUUUAAUACUACUUGCAGUCUAGUGGGAAGGGAGGGUGAUAUUUAGUAGAUAAUUUUUGCCCUCAUUUUUUAAGGAAAAACCCCUAUCUAUUAAUUCUGCUGCUGGAAAUUGAGAAAGCAGUUGGGCUGAACUUCUAAGUGAACAAACACUUACGGAUCUAUUUACACCUGCCCUGAAGCAGACUGUCAUAGGUGGAAAUGCUGUUAUUAUUCCCUCUCCCUGGUUUCCACUGUCCUACAAAGAUCUCUUGGAGCAGCUUGUUAACAAGUUACUGCUGCACAUGGUGAAAUUAGAAUGAAGUCCUUAUUAACAACCAAACCAAACUGACAAAAAAUUACUAAAAUUGGCAAUAGCAAAAGUGAGGGGAGUUGCUUUGAGUCAGUUUUUGCUUCUUAGUUCCAUCUAUUUAAGAAGGCUGAGAAUUACAAAUGACAAACGUGGCUGGCAGUUGAGCAGGGACAAGGACCUGAGAGGGAGUGAUAGGGAGAUGCAACAGCAGUUUUUCUUCUGUUCCUUUUUCCAUCACUGCAUGUUUCCAAAUUUAUUCCUCUCCCUAAAGAGUCCCUCUCCUUUGUUAUCUUCCUACUCUUCUCCCACCUCCUUCUCCCUUGGUUUAUUUCUCAGAACAGAUGAUCUCCUCUGCUCACCAGCCAGGUUAACUCUAGUUUCAGUAUCAAAGAUCAUUUAGGCUGAAAAUAGCUUUUACUGGGCCCAUGUUAAAACCCAGAAGUGUCUGGUCAUCAGAUAUUCAGCUGCCCCUCAGUCAGGGUUAUCCAUGUCAGGUACUCCCAGUUCCAUGGUCUCAAGCCAUUGCAGUUCGUCACAACUCAGGAGGGUUGUGAACUCAGUUACAGCUGAUUAUGCAUCACAUGAGAGGAGCUGAAGAAGCAGGAGAAAAAUAUCAUUAAUACAGACAGCCUGUCCUUUAGGGAUAUCUUUGUUUUUAUGGCAAGUUUUUUAGGUUUUCUGAAGUGACAUUAAAUUGUUACCGCUUUAUGUUCAUUAGGAAAUGGCCAGUGGUGAUAUUUACUGUUGCCUUCUGGGGUACAGAGUCCAAAUGACUCAGUUAUGAAAAUAAGCCUUACACUGUUCAGAAGUAUGAAAUGUGGCUCCUCAGUUCCAAGCAUGAAGUAAUGAUGAUUCUGGAGCAAGAGGAUGGAUGUGCUACAAAUUCUAGUGCUGUCAACUUUUGCCUGCCCUGCGGAACAAGGGAAGAGAAUCCUGAGCUGGAAGUGCCUGGAUGGAGUCAGAAGGAAGCUCUUGGAGAAAAUAUCAUCCAACUCAGAAGAGAACUUUCAGGGAGCAGAUCUCCUGGUGAAGGAACAAUUACAUUACUAUCUCUCUGGAGCUGGAGAUAAAUGGGUUCUAUCCUCUUUGAGGCAAAGCAUUUAUCAGACAACAAAAGUUACAAUUACUGGCAAGGAACAAGGUUGGACUGUGCAGCAACAAGUGCUUCUGGAGAAUCUAAGCCCAAUGCAUGUGCUGAAGUUACUCUUUAUUUUCUGAUAUGAAACCAGUCCCACAUAUAAAGGAAACAAAUUCCAGCCUCUUCCUUACUCGGUUUUCAACAGCUGCUCAGUUGCUCAAUAGUUCAGCCAGCCAGAAAGGAGAUGUUCAUAGAUAAUUGGAAACAAAAUCAAUUUCUGCCACUUCCAUGACUGGUUUCAAUCCCAGAUCACCCAGCUCAGGGCUGGGAUCUUUUGCAAAUCCUCAGAGGUGGGAUUGCUGGUUAAUAAUUGCUGUAAUUCAUUUAGGUCAUAGCCCUUCUUCUUCUCUUUCUUUUCACUGCCUGAGGGAGAGCUGAAACAGGGAUCACCCAAGGCACAAGUGCUGGUUUAACUUACUGCCACAGUCAGCUAAAUCUGAGCUCUCUGCUCAACAUGCUUGGCUCAGUUCACCUCGGGUCUCUGGCAUUGAUUCUUACAAUUGCCCUUCUUAUACUUAAAUUUCAAAACCUGAGAAUUCUUCUAUAUAUAAGCAUAAUCACACUGUUAUACCUCCAAAUGAAUAUGAGACUAUUUUCAGGAUUUUAAAAAAAUCCAUUAAAAAUACUUGGGUCUGUAUUUUCUUGCUCAUGUAAGCAGGUACUUUUAAUAAAAUCUGUUCUGAGAAGUGUCAUGUGUAUAUGCAGCCUUGGAUUAGACUGAAAUGAAAUUGUGAGAAUUUAUGGAAAAGCUUUUAGUGAGAAAACAUCCUCAGCUAUAUAGCCUUAGAAACUAGAGAGUUGGAGUUGGAGCUCAGAGAGUGGCUAUGAAUAUGGAGAGCCAGGAGUUGGAAUAAUCUCAAGGGAGGCAACUGCACCAGCCAGGAUGAAAGAUGAGUUUCAGCAGAAAAUUGAUCAAGAUAACGAAGCAGGGGGAAGAUGUCUUGUGACAGCAGCUGGAUUUGUAGCAUCUAGCCUCAAAUAGGAGCAUGAAACAUAAGUUUGCUUGGAGGAGGAAAAAAUCAAUCAGGGAAUUUCACAUAGGAUUGUGAGACUAUGGAACACUCCAAGGCACCCUGGAACACUGCACCAUUUACCCUAAUCGGGGGGUGAGUCAGCACUCAAUU